This 894-nucleotide ribosomal RNA is filed under the name Triticum aestivum (bread wheat). RNAcentral describes it as "partial small subunit ribosomal RNA". Lineage: Eukaryota; Viridiplantae; Streptophyta; Magnoliopsida; Poales; Poaceae. The record is from RNAcentral.
AUGGACUUCGACGACCACGACGACGGCGACGAGGAGAUGCGGAUGUCCAUGCCCAUGCCGGUGAGCUCCAGCUACGAGCCCCCGCCGCCGCUCUCCACGGGGUUUGGCGGCGCCGGGGUUGCGCCCAGCAAGCCUCCUGGUGGUGGUGGUGGUGGCGGUGGUGGCGAGCUUGGCGGCCGUGCCAAGGCCCCCGGCGGCGGUGCCAGGUACCGCGAGUGCCUCAAGAACCACGCGGUCGGCAUCGGAGGGUACGCCGUCGACGGCUGCGGCGAGUUCAUCGCCGGCGGCGAGGAGGGCAGCAUCGACGCGCUCCGCUGCGCCGCGUGCAGCUGCCACCGCAACUUCCACCGGAGGGAGUCCGACUUCCCCGCGGGGGGCGAGGGCUCGCCCUUCUCUCCCACCGCAAUGGUCCCCUACGGAGGCGUGCCGCCGCACCACCAGUUCUCGCCCUACUACCGCACCCCGGCGGGCUACCUGCACCACCACCAGCACCACAUGGCCGCGGCCGCCGCUGCAGCCGCGGCGGGGCACCCGCGGCCGCUGGCGCUCCCGUCCACCUCCCACAGCGGGCGCGACGACGCCGACGAGCUGUCGGGCAUGGCGGCGGGGCCCAUGUCGGCGCUGGUCCCGCUGAGCAGCAUGUCCCUGGGCGCGGGCCCGUCGGGGUACGGCUCCGGGUCCGGGUCCGGCAAGAAGCGGUUCCGCACCAAGUUCACCCAGGAGCAGAAGGACAAGAUGCUGGCCUUCGCGGAGCGCGUGGGGUGGCGCAUCCAGAAGCACGACGAGGCGGCCGUGCUGCAGUUCUGCGACGAGGUGGGCGUCAAGCGCCACGUCCUCAAGGUCUGGAUGCACAACAACAAGCACACCCUCGGCAAGAAGCCGCCCAGCAUUUGA